CCUACGGGAGACAGCAGUGGGGAAUAUUGCGCAAUGGGCGAAAGCCUGAUGCAGCGACGCCGCGUGAGGGAUGAAGGUCUUCGGAUUGUAAACCUCUGUUAGUAGGGAAGAACAUUCACUGUGCUAAUCAACAGUGAAUUGACGGUACCUGCAAAGAAAGCACCGCCUAACUCCGUGCCAGCAGCCGCGGUAAUACGGAGGGUGUGAGCGUUAAUCGGAAUUACUGGGCGUAAAGCGUUCGUAGGCGGUAUGUCAAGUCAAGUGUGAAAGCCCCGGGCUCAACGUUGGAACUGCCUUUGAAACUGGCAGACUGGAGUGUGUGAGAGGAUAGAGGAAUUCCAGGUGUAGGAGUGAAAUCCGUAGAUAUCUGGAGGAACAUCAGUGGCGAAGGCGGCUAACUGGAACAUAACUGACGCUGAGGAGCGAAAGCGUGGGUAGCAAACAGGAUUAGAUACCCCUGUAGUC
RNAcentral lists this ribosomal RNA (465 nucleotides) under uncultured bacterium. RNAcentral's name for it is "partial 16S ribosomal RNA". It matches the Rfam family "Bacterial small subunit ribosomal RNA", at positions 338 to 795 of the family's 1533-position model. The record is from RNAcentral.